UCCGGUUUGUCACCGGCAGUCUCCUUAGAGUUCCCACCAUUACGUGCUGGCAACUAAGGACAAGGGUUGCGCUCGUUGCGGGACUUAACCCAACAUCUCACGACACGAGCUGACGACAACCAUGCACCACCUGUCUUGGCGUUCCCUUGCGGGCACUUUUCUGUUUCCAAAAAAUUCGCCAGAUGUCAAACCCAGGUAAGGUUCUUCGCGUAGCAUCGAAUUGAACCACAUGCUCCACCGCUUGUGCGGGCCCCCGUCAAUUCCUUUGAGUUUUAAUCUUGCGACCGUACUUCCCAGGCGGGACACUUAAUGCGUUAGCGCCGGCACGGGAGGAGUCGACACCUCCCACACCUAGUGCCCAUCGUUUACGGCGUGGACUAC
Molecule: unclassified non-coding RNA, 381 nt
Filed under: uncultured bacterium
Lineage: Bacteria
Description: contains 16S-23S intergenic spacer region
Source: RNAcentral